RNAcentral lists this small nucleolar RNA (83 nucleotides) under Gaeumannomyces tritici R3-111a-1. Lineage: Eukaryota; Fungi; Ascomycota; Sordariomycetes; Magnaporthales; Magnaporthaceae. The record is from RNAcentral.
AGUCCCUGAUGACAACACUUAUUUCAGUUCUGCUACUGAAAGCAUGUGAUGAUACACCUAUACCAAAAAAAAACUUCUGAUUC